UACGAGUGCCCCAAGCGUUGUCCGGAAUCAUUGGGCGUAAAGGGUGUGUAGGUGGUUUUGUUAGUCUUCUGUCAAAAUCCAGAGCUCAACUCCGGACCUGCAGAGGAAACGGCAAGACUCGAGGAUGCGAGAGGUGAAUGGAACUCAUGGAGUAGGGGUGAAAUCCGUUGAUAUCAUGGGGAACACCAAAGGCGAAGGCAAUUCACUGGCGCAUUCCUGACACUGAGACACGAAAGCGUGGGUAGCGAACGGG
RNAcentral lists this ribosomal RNA (253 nucleotides) under uncultured bacterium. RNAcentral's name for it is "partial 16S ribosomal RNA". It matches the Rfam family "Bacterial small subunit ribosomal RNA", at positions 524 to 776 of the family's 1533-position model. The record is from RNAcentral.